Musa acuminata AAA Group (dessert banana) is the source of this 1232-nucleotide RNA transcript. It is a transcript of the gene named protein RADIALIS-like 3, with no coding region annotated. The transcript has 3 exons. The record is from RefSeq and is a predicted model, not a curated record. Lineage: Eukaryota; Viridiplantae; Streptophyta; Magnoliopsida; Zingiberales; Musaceae.
CCUUUUUUUUCUUUUGGCUUUCUCCCCCGGAUUCUCUUCUCUUCACCUUUUCCGAGUGCUGCUGUUCGUUCACGCAUCGACCUUUUUUAUCGGAUCCUCAUAUCUCUCUCUCUCUCUCUCUUUGUAUCAAGCAAUUUGUUUCGGGAUACUAAAUUUGCACAUGAACAUGUGGGGAAGUCCUCCCCCCUCGAUCUACAAGGUUUAGACAACAAAAAAUAACCUCUUUCUUCGAACCGUCUUCUCUUUCCGUGUCACUACAGAUGGAGAACAUGUUGAAUCUGGUGGCAAGUUGAUGGCGUCCGGGAAUUCCAUUCAGAGAUACAUGGAAACCGAGCCCACACUUUUGAUUCCUCCAAGUUGUGGCGUAGGACCACAACUCGAACAGCCCCAGCAUCCACAGGAAAUAGUAGGUAUUUGCAGGACCGACCGCUCGGCGAUACAGAAUCCUUGAAAAGCUGCUCUGCUCAUGUUUGCUGGGGAGUGUACUUUCGACCGACCUGCCACACCUUUUGGGAAAAAGGCAGAGGAGUUGGUGUUGUUGUUGGCAACAAUCUCCUCGCGCGCCUGCAAAUAAUGCUUCUCGAUGAUUUAUUUGCGUCGCACUCCACCGCAUCCGUCUCGUUCGUAGCAAUCUCUUCGACCAUGUCUUGGUAGCAAUCUCUUCCAAUAUCUAUUUCCCUUUUUUUGCUGGGCGCUUAGAAUCCAUGUCGAUUAAAGGCGAUGCUGCUGCUGCUGUUGCUUUGGUCAUGUAAGAUACAAAGCCAAAGCUGCACUAGAAUCGUGUGUUGUUAUUCUAUUCGAAAGAAGGUGAUGAACGCGUGGCUCAUCAUACAUACCACCAAAUGCAUCGACCUACAAAACGUACUCAUCCGAAACGUCACUAUCGCGCUUGUUCCGAAGAAGAAGAAGAAGAAGAAGAAGAAGAAGAAGAAGAAGAAGAAGAAGAAGAAGAGGACAGGUUUGACCACGACCUCACUUCACGUGCAUUUCAUGUCAAAGGCCUCUCACGCUGACCAAUCGUCUGCUGGAGGGAGAAGAUAAGGAACCAGGCUGAGGUGGUCGAAGCUCCAGGAAAACCAUCCUUCUUCUCUGGAGAUCACUUAAGAUCAAUACAUUAUAUGUUUUGGGGCAGUGGUGAAGUUAAUGUAGUCGUCGGAUGUUCCUUUGCAUGUCGAUGUGUCUACUUUGCAAGUGAAUGACAUGGCAAAGCAUUGACUCGGUGUUGGCUUUUA